GGGUCAGUAGGUUGGUCGUGCCACCGGUACGUACUGGUCUCACUGAUUCCUCCUUCCUGAAGAACCGUAAUGCCAUUAAUUUGGUGUUGCGGGGAAACAGGACUGUUACUUUGAGAAAAUUAGAGUGUUUAAAGCAAGCUAACGCUUGAAUACAUUAGCAUGGGAUAAUGAAAUAGGACGAUCGAUCCUAUUUUGUUGGUUUCUAGGAUUGACGUA
RNAcentral lists this ribosomal RNA (216 nucleotides) under Glomeromycotina sp. Its description in RNAcentral is "partial small subunit ribosomal RNA". The stretch from base 40 to 216 matches the Rfam family "Eukaryotic small subunit ribosomal RNA", at positions 686 to 864 of the family's 1831-position model. The record is from RNAcentral. Lineage: Eukaryota; Fungi; Glomeromycota.